CGGACCUCAGAUCAGACAAGACCACCCGCU
RNAcentral lists this ribosomal RNA (30 nucleotides) under Bryopteris filicina. RNAcentral describes it as "partial 28S ribosomal RNA". Lineage: Eukaryota; Viridiplantae; Streptophyta; Jungermanniopsida; Porellales; Lejeuneaceae. The record is from RNAcentral. RNAcentral also lists the same sequence under 1 other name.